AUGGUCUCCGGCGCCCAUGUCCGGGAGCUUUUCUCGCUCUGGACACUUCUGCAUGGCUUUCACCUUGAUGACCAGGUUGAGGAUGGCAUUGUUUGGAAACAUGCUGUAGAUGGGAUAUACUCGGCGGCCACUGCUUAUAAGGCGCAAUUCCUUGGCCUAACACAUUCACACAUUCACUACAUGGUCUGGAAAGCUUGGGCUCCCCCUAAGGUCAAAUUCUUCGCCUGGCUGGCCUUGCAAGACCGGAUUUGGACUGCAGACCGGUUGGAGCAGCGUGGUUAG
RNAcentral lists this ribosomal RNA (282 nucleotides) under Triticum aestivum (bread wheat). RNAcentral's name for it is "partial small subunit ribosomal RNA". The record is from RNAcentral. Lineage: Eukaryota; Viridiplantae; Streptophyta; Magnoliopsida; Poales; Poaceae.